AUUUCUUGAUAAAUGGUAACCAAACACAGAUAGAGGACAAUAAAAAGGACCUCAAAGACUCCCCGAUAAGGCCAGACUCAGGUUGUGUGGUUCAGGUUACACCCCAUCAUCUCCAUCAACAACUCAAUUGAGCACACGAAGGAUACCAGAUUUUAAAACAAAGGUGAUGCCAUCCAAUGGACAGGUGUCAAAGCUCCACUCCACCUCGACGUCCCUAACAUUGGCAUUGUUUAUGAAGGUCACUCCCGGGCCCUCCUGUACACACCCUGUGAAGUCCCUCCCGAUGACCAGCCCCUCGCUCCCUGACAGAUCAAUGCCCAGUAGACUGGACUGGCAGCCUGUUUAAAAUAAUGAAACUGCUAUUGGGCUAGACCUCAGGAUAAUGGCAACCAUUCUCGUGAAACACCCAUCUAAAGGAGAACAAAAGGACAUGCUCUUCAACCCAUAGAACAAAGACGCACUGCUGAUCAAUAGUCAAACAAAGACUAACGAGCUGACACACCUGAGGAUUGCCGCAGAAGAUCUCGCCUGCUUCAGAUUUCAAGAAAGUGGACCAUAUACAGUUCAAUCUUCAAGUUGGAUGUGGAAACUUAAGUCUUUUGGAUCUUAAUUAAGAAGACCACAAAAAAACCAAGGUCCCAAGGCAAAGAAUAUAUCUUUACACAAUUAACAGAUUCCUUGCUGUGCAAUACAUUUAGGCUGCAUUAUAAAUUCAAAACCUUUCACUGUAAUACAAAUUGCUCUCAAAGGGAGAUAAAUAGCAUAUGAAAAACAACAGUCUAAAAGUCAAAUUUUCGGAUGCUGAAGGAUCGGAGGGGCAUUGUUUGAAAUCCAUGGCCAGUCUCAAUGCAAAAUAAUGAGCCGACUCUUAACAUUUUCUAGUUUUUAUUCACAUAUAUUCAAUACCUGUGCUCUCAUUCCACUAAUGAAAAAGUUUUAACUUUUAAAUAUCUUGAGGUACCAACCACCUCGGCCCCCCCCCCCCCCCCAUCUUCUGUUUAUGCAUGAGGUUGUGUUUGCAAUCAUGCGAUAAGUGAUAGCAAGAUUCCAUACAUUCAUUCAGAACUCUGUAUAAGGGAUCAAAACCAAGAAAAUUUGAGUUGUUUUACCCACUGCCAAAAAAUAAUAUUCAAGACUGACUUUAAUGAUUUCCUGGGCAAUCACUGGGAGUGCUUACUGGAAAACUUUCUAAUAAAAAUCAUAUUUUCUCCCGCUUAUACUGUUAUUUGAAAAUUACCGUAAUAAGCCAUUUUAAUAUGAUUUCAUUUUUUGCAGUGUAAGCACUAAUUAUUUAUUACGUAAAUUAGAUACACUACUGAUACACAAAACUACUGAGCAACAAGAGCACAUUGUACAGUACACGUACAUUAGAAAUGGUUUUUUGAAAACGUAUCUUUUGAGGUUACCAACACACUGAAUGCAAAAUUUCUUGAAAUAAAUUAUUGUAAUUCAUAAGGUGUGGCAAUGAAAUAUACUUCAGAUUGCCACAAUGGUAUUACUAUCUAAGGGACCCAUCAAUUCUCACCCAUAAGCUUUAAAAGGGUAAACAGAUCCCUUUAAAUCAAUCAGAAUUCUCAAAUUCACAUACACUUAACACUGGAGCUGAAAGGGACAAAAUGUACAGUGAUCUGAUUAGCUGACUUGGAUUUAAAAAGUUAGAAAGAAUUGGACCAGAUUUAAUCAGGGUCAUGUAAGACAUAGUGAAAUAAGCAACAGUGCUGAUCAGGCAAACCUGAAAAUCCUCUUACACAAAGUUUCAAACCAACAGAAAAGAUUGCAGACCAUGUAAUAUUUGCAAACAAUAUAUUCUGAACAAGCAAUAUACAUCAUGCAAACAUAAUAUUGCAACUCAUAAAUAUCUUUAUAUCAAGUCAAAUAUAGAGUUACAUGGUACAGCUCAUACUGAAACUGUUGUAUACUUAUCAUAAUUAUCAAGAAUUUGAAAUCCCUUAUCAUUGUGACAAAAGGGCCUUUUUAUCAGUUAAUCAUUGUUAUUAUGAGAUAUGAGACCCCCGCUCAUAAGUAUAUCUAUAAAAAGCUGGACGAGGUUGCCAAGUUUGUGAUUAAUUGGGACUGUGAGUUUAGUACGAACACCAUCCAUUUCCUUUUGAAUAUAUCCAAAACUAAAUAGGCAAGCUUUAACACACAGGUGUCAUAAGCAAUUUUAUUUGAAUAUCUCCAUCCAUAUAGACUUUAUGGCUGAAAGUAAACGGGUCAUAGCCAGCACUGGAAUGUAAAAUUACAUUUAAAUUCUUUUUCAUUAAAAUGCCUCUUUCCCGGUUUGUUUACAGGUAAAUUUAUUUAGGUAUACUGUGUCUCAUUGUACAUUGUCUUCAAGUUUAUACAAGAAUCUUAAGUCAAUUGGUGGGCCAUUUUUACUAGUGUAAUUGCAAAACUAUUAUUAUUCUAAGAUUUGAACACAAUUACACAAUCUAUUAUAUCAGAUGCUUGAGAGCAGAUAUUGAUAUAAUGUAAUCAGCCAGCACUUAAAAAUAUAAAAUUUAUGAGGACAAAACUUUGGAAAACCUCAAUUACAUGUAUGGAUUUAUAUGCAGAUUUAUGAUUCUAGCAAUGUUAAUUGAAUCAUUAAUAAAACUUUGAACAAAUAGGGGAAAGUAAUUGAUAUAUGUGUAUUAAUUGAUGAUAAAACACACUGAUAGAUCUUUAUCACCAGUACUUGCGUACUAAAUGUUGUCAAUUGAUUCUUAUAUAUAUCACAAAAAUGUGUCUUUGUAUGAAACUUCAAUCAAUCAACAUACAUUUUAGUAUACAAGUUGUUAAGGUUUAGUGUCACGUACAUUUUUAUAAAAGAGGGAAAU
Molecule: long non-coding RNA, 2819 nt
Organism: Magallana angulata
Lineage: Eukaryota; Metazoa; Mollusca; Bivalvia; Ostreida; Ostreidae
Exons: 6
Source: RefSeq, a predicted model, not a curated record